This is a long non-coding RNA of Triticum aestivum (bread wheat), 1613 nucleotides long. RefSeq lists it as uncharacterized. Lineage: Eukaryota; Viridiplantae; Streptophyta; Magnoliopsida; Poales; Poaceae. The transcript is spliced from 2 exons. The record is from RefSeq and is a predicted model, not a curated record.
GAGAGUCCGUCACUCAGAGACAGAGCGAGAGCCGUGGAGUAGAUCUCGCGACCUGCCGCCCCCCGGCUGUGCUCGUCCUGGGGCUGGAGCAUCCUGCCGGCCGCCGGCGACCUCCUCGUCGGUGAGUACGUGCAGAAGCCCGGAGAGGCGCCUGCAGUUGCAGGGGCCAAAGGCUGGAUCUCGCAGAAUCGUGAGGUACUUGGGCAUGGGAUGGGAAUCACAAUUGUUGUGGAGGAAAUGAAGAAUAUCUUGUUAUUUGCCACCUACCAUCGAUGUUCUUUUAGAUUGAACAUUGCCAUGAGCUUUUCUCUACGCAAUGAAUAUAUUAGAUCAAGCAUCAUAUCAUGGACACCAUAAGACUUUUCUGCCUUUAUAGUGAUGUCUACAGAUUGGAUCCUGCUUCUGUUUAUGAGCUCAUUGAAGUAACUCUCCUAGCUCAAAUGGGUCAAUUUCACGUUUGCAUGAUACACAAAUCUUCAGCUAUCCAUCUCAACAUCUCCAUGUGGAUUGGUCUCGCUUAAUUUUAUAAUCUUCUGGAUAUAUGCUUACAUAUAAUAAUUGAUGUGAAGGUAGAUCAUAGAACAACAACAUAAUCUUUAGUCUUAAACAAAUUAUGGUAGACUAGAGAUAGAACACAAUAGGAACCACACACACACCAACGGUAUAGAAAGUAGCAAAGAAAUAGUAAAAGAAGUUCUUGACUUGUAGAUUAUCUCAAAGUGAUAAUGCAGAGUCAACCUUCUUUUACUACUAGUUUUGAUCUACCUUGUCAUCUGUAGGAUAAGUUAUUAUAUCUAAGCAUGUGUUUAGAAGAUUAGAAGAUUAAGCAAGGUCACUAGAUAUGUAAAUAGAUAGUUGAAUGAUUUGUUUAUCAUGAGAAGUAAGAGGUUAACCUAUUUGAGCUUGGUGAUAGAGUUAUUUGAUGAGAUCAUAAAUAGAAGCAUGAUUCAACUAAUAGACAUCAAUGUUGAUGAAGGCGUGGAAAAAUCUUAUCGUAUACAUGAUAUGAUGAUUGAUCCCAUAUGUUUUUACGAAGUGAAGAAAACUACUUCCAUGGCACUGAGUGAAAGCGAUCUAUCCAAAGGCAAGAUUUGAAGAUUAUCCAUCCGAAAGAGCAAGGCAUAUGUAACCACGAUCAACAGCAGCUCUCUUGUGAUAUCCAUGUGCUAUUGUCGAUUCGAUGUCGCUUAUGCUGAGCAUCCAUGUUCUACAUGGUUAAAUUUAGGUAUGUGACCAGCAUCAACAACUAUGAAAUUGUUGAUUCAGUGUCUCUUAUCGAACGGCAAGAUUUGAAGAUUAUCCAUCUGAAAGAGCAUAGCAGAUAUGACCGGCAGCAGCAGCAGCCGCAAGGUCACACGCGACGUGUGCUCUCUUGCAAUAUCCAUGUGCUAUUGUCGAUCCAGUGUCACUUAUGAUGACAGUUCAUGUUCUACAUGUGUUAGAUUUAGAAUAUUGUGUUGAAUGCUUCUGUUCUUGCCGAUUGAGAUGACGAGACUCAUGAACACUCCAUUUGCCCUGAUGUUUUGAUUUAUCUUCUGCAACGACAUGAAGCUCUCAUUGUAAUUGUACCCACUUCUGUCGGAUUCAAGAACCACCAAGUUUCUGUGGCGCCU